AAUUAAUUAUAGCCUGUGCACACACUAGGCCACAACAGACUUAGGGAAUGCAUUACUCAAAAGUGUGAGCUGAGAGACUAGGCGCUUUCGCAUCGCGUAGUUCAAGGAACUAGCCAGCAGGAUCGUUCCUAGAGAACCAGUUUCUCCCUCGGGCCGUUUUCCUGGUUGCAUUCGCACCGGCAGCAGGAACUCUGAAGCAAUCAACCGUGACGUCUUUAUUAUAUGAACAACCGGUUGAUACUAAAUCUCCUAUGACAAUUUGUAGUGUUAUCAUCGAGGCUGAGAAAAGAACACAACGCUGCAGACAACAGAAUGCCCUGCAAAUCAGGAAAUAACGUGUGAGAGCCUGCGCUCGUCCCAUGGAUACAUAUACACUGUGCCGCCGGAGAUCCCGUGCUCUGAAAAGUGCGAACAAGGAUGGUACUAUCAGAAUGGGACGUUUAUUGUCGACUCGACUCUGAAUGCCGGUGGAAGGAGGUUACCGGUUGUAGUGGAUGUAACUCCUCAGAAUCUGACCAUCCGUGUCUGCGACAACCUGCAGUGGCAACUUGACUGUGGCAAGUGUAACUGUAUUAUCAAUUAUACAGG
Sinocyclocheilus grahami is the source of this 588-nucleotide long non-coding RNA. RefSeq lists it as uncharacterized. The record is from RefSeq and is a predicted model, not a curated record. Lineage: Eukaryota; Metazoa; Chordata; Actinopteri; Cypriniformes; Cyprinidae. The transcript is spliced from 4 exons.